This 2987-nucleotide ribosomal RNA is filed under the name Salmonella enterica. RNAcentral's name for it is "bacterial LSU rRNA". It matches the Rfam family "Bacterial large subunit ribosomal RNA". Lineage: Bacteria; Pseudomonadati; Pseudomonadota; Gammaproteobacteria; Enterobacterales; Enterobacteriaceae. The record is from RNAcentral.
UUAAGCGACUAAGCGUACACGGUGGAUGCCCUGGCAGUCAGAGGCGAUGAAGGGCGUGCUAAUCUGCGAUAAGCGCCGGUAAGGUGAUAUGAACCGUUAUAACCGGCGAUACCCGAAUGGGGAAACCCAGUGUGAUUCGUCACACUAUCAUUAACUGAAUCCAUAGGUUAAUGAGGCGAACCGGGGGAACUGAAACAUCUAAGUACCCCGAGGAAAAGAAAUCAACCGAGAUUCCCCCAGUAGCGGCGAGCGAACGGGGAGGAGCCCAGAGCCUGAAUCAGCAUGUGUGUUAGUGGAAGCGUCUGGAAAGGCGCGCGAUACAGGGUGACAGCCCCGUACACAAAAGCGCAUGUGCUGUGAGCUCGAUGAGUAGGGCGGGACACGUGGUAUCCUGUCUGAAUAUGGGGGGACCAUCCUCCAAGGCUAAAUACUCCUGACUGACCGAUAGUGAACCAGUACCGUGAGGGAAAGGCGAAAAGAACCCCGGCGAGGGGAGUGAAAAAGAACCUGAAACCGUGUACGUACAAGCAGUGGGAGCACAGGUUUACCUGUGUGACUGCGUACCUUUUGUAUAAUGGGUCAGCGACUUAUAUUCUGUAGCAAGGUUAACCGUAUAGGGGAGCCGUAGGGAAACCGAGUCUUAACCGGGCGUUAAGUUGCAGGGUAUAGACCCGAAACCCGGUGAUCUAGCCAUGGGCAGGUUGAAGGUUGGGUAACACUAACUGGAGGACCGAACCGACUAAUGUUGAAAAAUUAGCGGAUGACCUGUGGCUGGGGGUGAAAGGCCAAUCAAACCGGGAGAUAGCUGGUUCUCCCCGAAAGCUAUUUAGGUAGCGCCUCGUGAAUUCAUCUCCGGGGGUAGAGCACUGUUUCGGCUAGGGGGCCAUCCCGGCUUACCAACCCGAUGCAAACUGCGAAUACCGGAGAAUGUUAUCACGGGAGACACACGGCGGGUGCUAACGUCCGUCGUGAAGAGGGAAACAACCCAGACCGCCAGCUAAGGUCCCAAAGUCAUGGUUAAGUGGGAAACGAUGUGGGAAGGCCCAGACAGCCAGGAUGUUGGCUUAGAAGCAGCCAUCAUUUAAAGAAAGCGUAAUAGCUCACUGGUCGAGUCGGCCUGCGCGGAAGAUGUAACGGGGCUAAACCAUGCACCGAAGCUGCGGCAGCGAACGUAUCACUUAAAGCGAUUCAGCGGGUUACGAUUGACGGAGCGAAGCGACGUCAAAGCGUAUACAAAGUCGAGUCGGUUUAAGGAUACGUUCGUUGGGUAGGGGAGCGUUCUGUAAGCCUGUGAAGGUGGCCUGUGAGGGUUGCUGGAGGUAUCAGAAGUGCGAAUGCUGACAUAAGUAACGAUAAAGCGGGUGAAAAGCCCGCUCGCCGGAAGACCAAGGGUUCCUGUCCAACGUUAAUCGGGGCAGGGUGAGUCGACCCCUAAGGCGAGGCCGAAAGGCGUAGUCGAUGGGAAACGGGUUAAUAUUCCCGUACUUGGUGUUACUGCGAAGGGGGGACGGAGAAGGCUAUGUUGGCCGGGCGACGGUUGUCCCGGUUUAAGCGUGUAGGUGUGUGUUCCAGGUAAAUCCGGUUCACUUUAACACUGAGGCGUGAUGACGAGGCACUACGGUGCUGAAGCAACAAAUGCCCUGCUUCCAGGAAAAGCCUCUAAGCAUCAGGUAACAUCAAAUCGUACCCCAAACCGACACAGGUGGUCAGGUAGAGAAUACCAAGGCGCUUGAGAGAACUCGGGUGAAGGAACUAGGCAAAAUGGUGCCGUAACUUCGGGAGAAGGCACGCUGACACGUAGGUGAAGUGAUUUACUCAUGGAGCUGAAGUCAGUCGAAGAUACCAGCUGGCUGCAACUGUUUAUUAAAAACACAGCACUGUGCAAACACGAAAGUGGACGUAUACGGUGUGACGCCUGCCCGGUGCCGGAAGGUUAAUUGAUGGGGUCAGCGCAAGCGAAGCUCCUGAUCGAAGCCCCGGUAAACGGCGGCCGUAACUAUAACGGUCCUAAGGUAGCGAAAUUCCUUGUCGGGUAAGUUCCGACCUGCACGAAUGGCGUAAUGAUGGCCAGGCUGUCUCCACCCGAGACUCAGUGAAAUUGAACUCGCUGUGAAGAUGCAGUGUACCCGCGGCAAGACGGAAAGACCCCGUGAACCUUUACUAUAGCUUGACACUGAACAUUGAGCCUUGAUGUGUAGGAUAGGUGGGAGGCUUUGAAGCGUGGACGCCAGUCUGCGUGGAGCCAACCUUGAAAUACCACCCUUUAAUGUUUGAUGUUCUAACGUGGACCCGUUACCCGGGUUGCGGACAGUGUCUGGUGGGUAGUUUGACUGGGGCGGUCUCCUCCUAAAGAGUAACGGAGGAGCACGAAGGUUGGCUAAUCCUGGUCGGACAUCAGGAGGUUAGUGCAAUGGCAUAAGCCAGCUUGACUGCGAGCGUGACGGCGCGAGCAGGUGCGAAAGCAGGUCAUAGUGAUCCGGUGGUUCUGAAUGGAAGGGCCAUCGCUCAACGGAUAAAAGGUACUCCGGGGAUAACAGGCUGAUACCGCCCAAGAGUUCAUAUCGACGGCGGUGUUUGGCACCUCGAUGUCGGCUCAUCACAUCCUGGGGCUGAAGUAGGUCCCAAGGGUAUGGCUGUUCGCCAUUUAAAGUGGUACGCGAGCUGGGUUUAGAACGUCGUGAGACAGUUCGGUCCCUAUCUGCCGUGGGCGCUGGAGAACUGAGGGGGGCUGCUCCUAGUACGAGAGGACCGGAGUGGACGCAUCACUGGUGUUCGGGUUGUCAUGCCAAUGGCACUGCCCGGUAGCUAAAUGCGGAAGAGAUAAGUGCUGAAAGCAUCUAAGCACGAAACUUGCCCCGAGAUGAGUUCUCCCUGAGACUUUAGGUCUCCUGAAGGAACGUUGAAGACGACGACGUUGAUAGGCCGGGUGUGUAAGCGCAGCGAUGCGUUGAGCUAACCGGUACUAAUGAACCGUGAGGCUUAACCUU